RNAcentral lists this ribosomal RNA (253 nucleotides) under uncultured bacterium. RNAcentral describes it as "partial 16S ribosomal RNA". It matches the Rfam family "Bacterial small subunit ribosomal RNA", at positions 524 to 776 of the family's 1533-position model. The record is from RNAcentral.
UACGGAGGGAGCAAGCGUUACUCGGAAUCAUUGGGCGUAAAGGGCGCGUAGGCGAUUCGGUAAGUCUCAUGUGAAAGCCCACAGCCUAACUGUGGAAGUGCAUGAGAUACUGUCGAAUUUGAGUUCAGGAGAGGAAGGCAGAAUUCCCGGUGUAGCGGUGAAAUGCGUAGAUAUCAGGAGGAACACCGGUGGCGAAAGCGCUCAUCUGGCCCAAUACUGACGCUGAGGCGCGAAAGCUAGGGGAGCAAACGGG